UAAAGGAUAGCAUAAGGUAAUGUUUCUUGCUUACAACAAGAUGAUAGUUGAGUAACUUCCUUUAA
RNAcentral lists this transfer RNA (65 nucleotides) under Sinonovacula constricta (Chinese razor clam). RNAcentral describes it as "tRNA-Val". Lineage: Eukaryota; Metazoa; Mollusca; Bivalvia; Cardiida; Solecurtidae. The record is from RNAcentral.